This 439-nucleotide long non-coding RNA is filed under the name Vulpes vulpes (red fox). RNAcentral describes it as "lncRNA (ENSVVUG00000018873.1)". Lineage: Eukaryota; Metazoa; Chordata; Mammalia; Carnivora; Canidae. The record is from RNAcentral.
UGGUGAUCUGUCUGUGAGGCCUCGUGUUUAUCAUUUCUCAGAAGCCAGCUAGUAGACCAGGCCACCUGCCAGUAUAUGGUUAGCACAUUUAUGUCAAUCGGUUUGUCAGCCAGGUACCAUGGUUUUUCCCAAGUCACAGCUUCCAAACUCUGGGAACAUAAAACCACAAUGCUAGCCAAGAUAACAAUGAGACCUUUCUCAUAUACAACACUAGUGGCUCUCUGAAAAGAUGCUCAAAAGGGCCUUUUGUAGAUGCUCAAGCUGCAAGACAAAGAAAAGAGACACUCUGGACCGGAGAAGGAACACCCCGUCUAGACUUCUUCCUGAGCCAGUUAGGACUCACCUGGGCCAAGUCCCCUUAACUGGUCUGACCUCUGUCAGAUGGAUCCUAAUCUGUCAAAUUGGCAUCACAACCAGGAAGCAUGUGGCGACCUCUUAG